UGAUCGGUAUGAUGAAAUACGGCUAUAGUUGAAAAAUUACAUAUUUCCGAUAACAUUUGGUCCCCGAUAGAAGCGGUCAACCCCAUUUACGGUUAUGCUUCCCUAUGAGGAGCCUUAUCGUCGGGAGGUGAGCAUCCCUAAAUUUUUACAUAGGUGGUUUUAUCUCAUCAAUGUGAGAGUUUUUUGUGUGGAAAAAUCAACCAAACUAGGCCAUAUAGGGGUAUGUAAAAGCGUUUUCGUGUAAUAAGUGGCGUUGGUUUAGGUUUGACCGUGUGGAUUGAGACCCAAACCUUAUUGAAAACAAGUGAAUUUUUUUUCAUAGCCGUAUUUAAGUAUAUUGAUCAUAUCGUACGGUUGAAUUUUUAUUUUGUGAAAUUUAGCCAUCAGAACCACAACGUGUCUAUUAAUGUGGUAUAACUUGUUUAGUAGGUUAUAUUUAAGUGUACAUAUUUGUGAACCAACUAUAUAUAAAAAGCAAUAUUUUCAAAAAUCAUGUGAAAUAGGAUGUGAUCAGUAUGAUGAAAUACAACUAUAGUUGAAAAAUCACAUAUUUCUGGUAACGUUUGGUCCCCGAUAAAAGCGGUCAACCCCAUUUACACUUAUGCUUCCCUAUGGGGAGCCUUAUCAUCGGGAGGUGAGCAUCCCUAAAUUUUUACAUAGGUGGUUAUAUCUCAUCAUGUGAGAGUUUUGUGUGUGGAAGAAUCAACCAAAUUAGGCCAUAUAAGGACAUGUAAGAGCCUUUUUGUGUGUUAUAGAAUAGUUUUGACGACGAAACUGAUAAUUUAAUCGCCUAAAUAACUAAAUUUGGGCGGGAGAUAAAAAAUUUGGUCUACUUCAGCGGCGAAAUACUUCACUUUCGUCACCUAAGUCUCAAAAUUGGGCGGCAGCGUUUUGCGCUCAAAAUUUGGCCCAAAGUUUGGACCUAUUUUUCAAAACUAAUUUGGGCUUCUAGGGGACGAAAUAUUCAUGUGAUGGUCGCCUAGUGUAAACCAAAAACACUCAAAAUCCCUAAUUGAAAGAGGAUCGCCCCUCCCUAUUUUCUUCCUCUAUGCUAUCGAACCCGAUCUUUCCUCCCAUCUGUGCAUUCGAACUCCUCCCAAUCCCUAAUCAAUCUCCACCCUCAUCUCUCCUCCCAUCUACUAUGCUCUCUCUCAUCUCUCCUCCCAAUUUUCUUCUUCUCUCCAGGUGAACCCGAUCCUUCCUGCCAAUCCCUAAUCGAUCUCCUCCCAUCUGCGCCUCAUCUCUCCUCCCAUUUGCGCCUCUCUCUCAUCUCUCCUAUGAAAGGGCCAAUCUCCACCCUCGGACUCUCCUGAGUCUCCUCUCAUCUACGCCUCUCUCUCUCUCAUCCCACCACAAACCUAAAUCGAUCACAAGGUCAGGGUUUAUGGUUUAUAGUUCACAUUAUUAAUUUAGAUUUAGCAUGAUUCUUAUUAGGCAAACCUUUUGAUUUGCUUGUUCAGACUUAAAUCAAGUACUAAUGGAUGACUGAUUGCAGGUUCUUGUCGUACAAGAGAAACACUAUUCUCUUUCCUGUGUUGGUUUCUGGAAUAUACCAACUGGCUUCCUUUAAACCUUGAAAACAAUUUUAUAAGUUCCAAUUUGUUCUGCUUGGAAUUAUCUGAUGGGGUAAGAAUGUGUAUUAAGUAUCAUUUGUAUCAUCUAUUUGUACUAGUGUACUAUUGCAAUGCAGAAUUUAUCUUUACCAAUCAAGCUCUUC
RNAcentral lists this long non-coding RNA (1717 nucleotides) under Fragaria vesca (wild strawberry). Its description in RNAcentral is "long non-coding RNA (FVES_LNC003412)". The record is from RNAcentral. Lineage: Eukaryota; Viridiplantae; Streptophyta; Magnoliopsida; Rosales; Rosaceae.